This 76-nucleotide transfer RNA is filed under the name Bdellovibrio sp. RNAcentral's name for it is "tRNA-Lys". The record is from RNAcentral. Lineage: Bacteria; Pseudomonadati; Bdellovibrionota; Bdellovibrionia; Bdellovibrionales; Pseudobdellovibrionaceae.
GCUCCCGUAGCUCAGAUAGAGUACCUGGUUUUUAACCAGUGGGGUCGGUAAGUGAAACUCUUGCCCGGGAGUUCCA